Molecule: ribosomal RNA, 254 nt
Filed under: uncultured bacterium
Lineage: Bacteria
Description: partial 16S ribosomal RNA
Rfam family: Bacterial small subunit ribosomal RNA
Source: RNAcentral
UACGUAGGGGGCAAGCGUUGUCCGGAAUCAUUGGGCGUAAAGAGCUCGUAGGCGGCUUGGCAAGUCGGGUGUGAAAACUCCAGGCUCAACCUGGAGACGCCACCCGAUACUGCCAUGGCUAGAGUCCGGUAGGGGACCACGGAAUUCCUGGUGUAGCGGUGAAAUGCGCAGAUAUCAGGAAGAACACCCGUGGCGAAGGCGGCUCUCUGGGACGGUACUGACGCUGAGACGCGAAAGCGUGGGGAGGGAACAGG